RNAcentral lists this ribosomal RNA (1365 nucleotides) under Triticum aestivum (bread wheat). RNAcentral describes it as "partial small subunit ribosomal RNA". The record is from RNAcentral. Lineage: Eukaryota; Viridiplantae; Streptophyta; Magnoliopsida; Poales; Poaceae.
AUGAUCAAGUGGGGGAUCAGCAGCGGGACGCCCGCGGAUUCGUACUACGAGAUCCGCUCCGAUUGCACAGACGAUGUGCCCAAAAGCAAGUUCAAGAUCAAGGCUGGCAAAACACUGAGUGUUCGGAAAUGGCAAGCUGCAUUUAAUCCUGAUGGCUGUCUUGACAUUGUCUCGGUCCUAAGCCGGAUACAAAAAGGAGGUGUUCACCCGACUGUCAGGGGGGAGGUUUGGGAGUUCUUACUUGGCUGCUUUGAUCCGAGGAGUACCUUUGAUGAGAGGGAGGAGAUCAGGCAAAUAAGAAGGCUACAAUAUGCUAGAUGGAAGGAAGAAUGCAAAGAGAUGGAUUCUCAUGUUGGUAGUGGUAAGGUUAUCACAGCACCACUUAUCACUGAGGAUGGAAGACCUAUCAAGGAUCCUUUGGUUUUACUUGAGGCUACUUCAAACCAAAACACCUCAGAGGGUGCUUCAACUAGCAGCCACAAUGGAAUUGAAGUAGACGAAUCUGCAGAAUGUAUUACUGACAAGCAAAUUAUUGAAUGGAAGCUUACAUUACAUCAAAUUGGACUUGACGUGCUACGUACUGACCGCACCAUGGUAUUUUACGAGAACAAGGAAAAUCUUUCAAAGUUGUGGGAUAUUCUAGCCGUGUAUGCAUGGAUUGACAAAGAUGUUGGUUACUGUCAAGGAAUGAGUGAUUUAUGCUCACCAAUGAUUGUGCUACUCAACGAUGAGGCAGAUGCGUUUUGGUGCUUUGAGAAGUUGAUGCGUAGAUUGCGAGGAAAUUUCAGAUGCACAGAUCAAUCUGUUGGGGUGGCUAACCAACUUCAGCACCUUGCAUCUAUCAUUCAGGUGCUGGACCCCAAGCUACAUGACCACCUAGAAACACUUGGUGGAGGUGACUAUCUUUUUGCAUUCCGUAUGUUCAUGGUUCUAUUUCGACGUGAGGUGUCAUUUGGGGACUCCUUGUACCUGUGGGAGAUGAUGUGGGCUCUCGAAUACGAUCCGGAUAUCUUCUUUGCAGCAUGUGAAGAAGCAAGCGGUGCACAUAAAAAAGUAUCGAAAUCAAAAUUAAGAGGAGUGCGCCAUUUUGCCAAGUGGGAUAAGGACAAGGACAAGGACAAGGACAAGGACAAGGACAAGGAUGUCUCUGAGGAAACUGAUGGCCCAGUUCCCAUUUCAGUUUUCAUGGUUGCAAGUGUGCUCAAGGAAAAGAGAGAAAAACUGUUACAAGAAGCUAGAGGACUGGAUGAUCUUAUUAGGAUAUUGAAUGAUGUAAAUGGGAAUUUAGAUGCGAAAAAAGCCUGCGCUGGAGCUCUGAAACUUCACAAGAAAUACCUCAAACUGGUACAGGCAAAGAAAACCUAA